This 638-nucleotide long non-coding RNA is filed under the name Nicotiana benthamiana. Its description in RNAcentral is "long non-coding RNA (NBEN_LNC013135)". The record is from RNAcentral. Lineage: Eukaryota; Viridiplantae; Streptophyta; Magnoliopsida; Solanales; Solanaceae.
AUAAACUAAAAUUUAUCUCAUUUAUUUAGGGUUUUGGUAUACAAUAAUUUUUCCUUAUUUUUCCUGGAGUUUGUCCACUAAAGAGGGUGCAACUUUGAAGAAGUUUCCUGCAAACAGAAUGCAAAUAUUUUGGAGAUCUGAUUAAUUAUCUCGUUAAGCUUAACAAGCCACCGAUUGGAACAUGAUUAGUAGCACCCAAUGCACUAAACAUUUGGAAACUGAUUUUUCAUUUAUGAUAAAACACCGAGGACUAUCCUGAGCACCCAAUGCACUAAACAUUUGGAAGCUGAUUUUUCAUUUAUGAUAAAACACCGAGGACUAUCCUGAAUAAACAAACUUUCAAUUAUCAGACCUAUAUGUUAUCUAGCCUAGAUCUAAUAAACAUCACUGCGUAUUUUCAAAUUAAGUGUUCAUCCAAAUCCACACUGUAAUGGAGUUCUAUGAGUAGGAUCAGUGGCAUCAUUCCAAUGUUCAAGUUUACAAUGUUAGCAUAUUGCGCUGAAUUAAUUGAAUGAUCAGUAUUUGGCGUUGCUUUCAUGAAGUAGAACAUUGUUUCCUUGUCCAGAAGUGAUGUUUCCUUAUGUAGUGAUAAUACCUUUUCCAGCUUGUAAGACUUUCACUUCAAUGUCAUUUGACAG